RNAcentral lists this ribosomal RNA (437 nucleotides) under uncultured bacterium. Its description in RNAcentral is "partial 16S ribosomal RNA". It matches the Rfam family "Bacterial small subunit ribosomal RNA", at positions 29 to 507 of the family's 1533-position model. The record is from RNAcentral.
AGCGAACGCUGGCGGCAGGCUUAACACAUGCAAGUCGAGCGGGCAUCCUUGUGGUGUCAGCGGCAGACGGGUGAGUAACGCGUGUGAACGUGCCCUUCGGUUCGGAAUAACUCAGGGAAACUUGAGCUAAUACCGGAUACGUGCGAGAGCAGAAAGGUUUAUCUGCCGAAGGAUCGGCGCGCGUCUGAUUAGCUAGUUGGUGAGGUUAUGGCUCACCAAGGCGACGAUCAGUAGCUGGUCUGAGAGGAUGAUCAGCCACACUGGCACUGAGACACGGCCCAGACUCCUACGGGAGGCAGCAGUGGGGAAUAGUGGACAAUGGGGGCAACCCUGAUCCAGCCAUGCCGCGUGAGUGAUGACGGCCUUAGGGUUGUAAAGCUCUUUUCUCCGGGACGAUAAUGACGGUACCGGAGGAAUAAGCCCCGGCUAACUUCGUG